Molecule: ribosomal RNA, 1335 nt
Filed under: uncultured bacterium
Lineage: Bacteria
Description: bacterial SSU rRNA
Rfam family: Bacterial small subunit ribosomal RNA
Source: RNAcentral
AGAGUUUGAUCCUGGCUCAGGAUGAACGCUGGCGGCGUGCUUAACACAUGCAAGUCGAGCGAAGCACUUUGUUUUGAAUCUUCGGAGGAAGAACGAAGUGACUGAGCGGCGGACGGGUGAGUAACGCGUGGGCAACCUGCCUCAUACAGGGGGAUAACAGUUAGAAAUGACUGCUAAUACCGUAUAAGACCACGGUACUGCAUGGUACAGUGGUAAAAACUCCGGUGGUAUGAGAUGGGCCCGCGUCUGAUUAGCUAGUUGGUGAGGUAACGGCUCACCAAGGCAACGAUCAGUAGCCGACCUGAGAGGGUGACCGGCCACAUUGGGACUGAGACACGGCCCAAACUCCUACGGGAGGCAGCAGUGGGGAAUAUUGCUCAAUGGGGGAAACCCUGAUGCAGCGACGCCGCGUGAGCGAUGAAGUAUUUCGGUAUGUAAAGCUCUAUCAGCAGGGAAGAAAAUGACGGUACCUGACUAAGAAGCCCCGGCUAACUACGUGCCAGCAGCCGCGGUAAUACGUAGGGGGCAAGCGUUAUCCGGAUUUACUGGGUGUAAAGGGAGCGUAGACGGCGAUGCAAGCCAGAUGUGAAAGCCCGGGGCUCAACCCCGGGACUGCAUUUGGAACUGUAUAGCUGGAGUGUCGGAGAGGCAGGCGGAAUUCCUAGUGUAGCGGUGAAAUGCGUAGAUAUUAGGAGGAACACCAGUGGCGAAGGCGGCCUGCUGGACGAUGACUGACGUUGAGGCUCGAAAGCGUGGGGAGCAGACAGGAUUAGAUACCCUGGUAGUCCACGCCGUAAACGAUGACUACUAGGUGUCGGGCAGCAAAGCUGUUCCGUGCCCCAGCCAACGCAAUAAGUAAUCCACCUGGGGGAGUACGUUUCCCAAAAAAUGAAACCUCAAAGGAAUUGACGGGGGACCCGCACCACCGGUGGAGCAUGUGGUUUAAUUAGAAGCAACGCGAAGAACCUCACUCUGACCUUGACAUCCCGAUGACCGUCCAGUCAAUGUGGACUUCCCUUCCGGGCAUUGGAGACAGGUGGUGCAUGGUUGUCGUCAGCUCGUGUUGUGAGAUGUUGGGUUAAGUCCCGCAACGAGCGCAACCCCUAUCUUUAGUAGCCAGCACAUGAAGGUGGGCACUCUAGAGAGACUGCCAGGGACAACCUGGAGGAAGGUGGGGCCCCCCUCAAAUCAUCAUGCCCCUUAUGAUCUGGGCUACACACGUGCUACAAUGGCGUAAACAAAGGGAAGCGAGACAGUGAUGGCAAGCAAAUCUCAGAAAUAACGUCUCAGUUCGGAUUGCAGUCUGCAACUCGACUGCAUGAAGCUGGAAUCGCU